ACACAUCACGAUGCAGGCGAAGAAAGAUGAUCACGCUUGCAGACACGCGUGCACGCGCCAGCCGGUGGAAGCCUCACCAGCAGCUAAAAGGAAGCCGUGCGACGUGUGUCCGCCAUGCCAGGCGCCGUGCAACCCCGCCGCGCCGCCGAGUCCCGCCGAGCGCGAGGCGGCGUCGCUGGCGGUGCGCCUGCAGCACACCGAGGAGAGCUUCAAAUCCAAGAUCACUGAG
Long non-coding RNA from Cydia strobilella, 229 nucleotides. RefSeq lists it as uncharacterized. The transcript has 4 exons. The record is from RefSeq and is a predicted model, not a curated record. Lineage: Eukaryota; Metazoa; Arthropoda; Insecta; Lepidoptera; Tortricidae.